ACUCCUACGGGAGGCAGCAGUGAGGAAUAUUGGACAAUGGACGCAAGUCUGAUCCAGCCAUGCCGCGUGCAGGAAGAAUGCCCUAUGGGUUGUAAACUGCUUUUAUUUGGGAAUAAACCCUUCUCGUGAGGAGGGCGUGAAGGUAACCAAACGAAUAAGCACCGGCUAACUCCGUGCCAGCAGCCGCGGUAAGUACGGAGGGUGCAAGCGUUAUCCGGAAUCAUUGGGUUUAAAGGGUUCCGCAGGCGGACGUAUAAGUCAGUGGUGAAAGCCUACAGCUUAACUGUAGAACUGCCAUUGAUACUGUAUGUCUUGAAUUCGGUCGAAGUGGGCGGAAUGUGUCAUGUAGCGGUGAAAUGCAUAGAUAUGACACAGAACACCGAUAGCGAAGGCAGCUCACUAGGCCUGAAUUGACGCUCAGGGACGAAAGCGUGGGAGCGAACAGGAUUAGAUACCCCUGGUAGACUGUCA
This 471-nucleotide ribosomal RNA is filed under the name uncultured bacterium. RNAcentral describes it as "bacterial SSU rRNA". It matches the Rfam family "Bacterial small subunit ribosomal RNA", at positions 335 to 802 of the family's 1533-position model. The record is from RNAcentral.